Molecule: long non-coding RNA, 573 nt
Organism: Monopterus albus (swamp eel)
Lineage: Eukaryota; Metazoa; Chordata; Actinopteri; Synbranchiformes; Synbranchidae
Exons: 5
Source: RefSeq, a predicted model, not a curated record
AAAAGUAUUUGUACAGCAGGUACGUGUGUGCAUUUACAAUUAAAGAGUUCUUAUUUUUCUGUCCUCAGUUUGCUUUCAGGUUACGUCCUUUGCUGUUGAUAUACAGUAUGUCAGAUUGAUAUUGUGGGCAAUCAGAACAGUCCUGCUAUGACUCCAGUCCUCAACUACUAUGGUUUGUGGAACCAAGCAGCAACAGAUUAUUUAAACAGUGUGCUGCAGAUACUGUUCAUGACCAAGGUGUUCAGAGAGACCAUGAAAAGACUCACUGUUCCAAAUCCUGACAGUAGACGUCUUGAUCACCAUCUUACAAACUUGUUUAAAGACUUAGAGAAACACACAGCAGGCACCAAAGAAUCACAAAGGAGCUGGGCAUCAGGAACGUGUGUGAACAACAAGAUGCUGCUGAAUACCUGGAGAAGAUUUUAAAUAACACCAAUCCUGAAGCUUCACAGAUAUUUCAAGGACAGUUGACACACAGUAACACAUGCUCUAUGUGUAAAACAAAGACAAACAGCGAUGGUCCAUUCUGGUAUUUGCCUCUUGCACUGGUUGGUUCUCCCAGUGAGAACUACA